This is a small nucleolar RNA of Phodopus roborovskii (desert hamster), 125 nucleotides long. RefSeq annotates it as small nucleolar RNA SNORA26. The record is from RefSeq and is a predicted model, not a curated record. The transcript has a single exon. Lineage: Eukaryota; Metazoa; Chordata; Mammalia; Rodentia; Cricetidae.
GAGCCCUUGUAAGGUCAGUCCUGUACCUUAAGGAUCUAAAACACAAGGUUAAAAAAGGACUCUCCAUGAAACCCCAGACAAGAGGCUGUGCACCUACACUUUGGAUCCUUUCUGGAGUCACAGAU